GACGAACGCUGGCGGCGUGCUUAACACAUGCAAGUCGAACGGAAAGGCCCCUUUGGUGGUACUCGAGUGGCGGACGGGCGGGUAACACGUGAGUAACCUGCCCUUGGCUCCGGGAUAACGUCAGGAAACUGGGGCCAUUACCUGAUAGGAAUCCUUGCUGCAUGGUGGGGGUUGGAAAGCUUCGGCGGUCUUGCAUGUACUGGGGCCGUAGUAGCUUGUUGGUGGGGUAGUGGCUUACCAAGGCGUUGACGGGUAGCCGGCCUGAGAGGGUGACCAGCCACACUGGGACUGAGACACGGUCCAGACACCUACGGGAGGCAGCAGUGGGGAAUAUUGGACAAUGGGCGCAAGCCUGAUCCAGCCAUACCGCGUGGGUGAAGAAGGCCUUCGGGUUGUAAAGCCCUUUUGUUGGGAAAGAAAUCGUUCAGGCGAAGACCCUGGGAGGAUGACGGUACCCAAAGAAUAAGCACCGGCUAACUUCGUG
Molecule: ribosomal RNA, 484 nt
Filed under: uncultured bacterium
Lineage: Bacteria
Description: partial 16S ribosomal RNA
Rfam family: Bacterial small subunit ribosomal RNA
Source: RNAcentral